ACUACCGUAUCAAAAGUUGCUGGAUGUGUGAACGGCACUGAUCUCCACCGUCCGUUUCUCUGAGGUUCAUUAUCUACAUUGACGAAUAAUCUCACCUCCUUUUUCCUCUGCUCAAUUUCAUCGAACACAGAGUGUAUAUACUGAAGGUAAGGCUGUAGAAUUCGACGCUUAUCCUUUUUCCUAAUCUUCAUAACAAGCGAUUUCAAACCAGUAAAUUCAUUCUUUUCAUUGAUCCAGAAAACUCUAGCGCUGAGGAAUUUGUCAACAACAAUCUGAUUUGAAUCCAAAACGAGGCUAAUUUCAUUGGACUUAUCGCCGGAGAUUAGGUUGGUGAAAUCAGAAUCUUCAACACAGGGGAGCGAAUUCAGAUAAGUACAAACUUUUCGAUACAAUUGAUUUUCCUGCAUGUUGUGAUUGAAUUGCGGUACCCUGUAGAACUGAUAGACAUAACAACCAUCCUCCAAAAACCUCCACCAUUUUUUCACAAUUUGCAGUAAAGAAGUUUUCAACAGAAUCUUCAGAAACAAACCUGAAGCAAUUAUUGCAAUCAAAUACCAAAACAUGAUUGGAAAAAAAAAGAAGUAAAAAUCAAACAGUGUAAUGAAGUAUGAUGAUGGAAAAGAGAAUUUGAGGGGAAAAUGAUGAUGAGAAGGUGGAUGAAAUCAUGAAGGAUGUUGUAAUAAUGAAAGUAUAUUAUAUACUAAUAUAAAGUAAUGAGAAAAGCAUAAAGAAAUGAGUAUAGUAUAAAUAAAUUUAAGGGGAUGGGGAAUUGGCAGGUCACAGAACAUUAAUUAUUUUAAUGAAUAAGUCUUUAUUAAUUUGUUUGUUUGAAUUUAAGAGACGGCUUGCAGACUGGGACGGCAUAAUUUGCUAGGUUUAAUUGGUCAAAUGAGAUUUAUUUUAUAUCCUAUUUUUUGUUUAAUGAUUUGUUUGUGGAAAUUGAUCUAUUAUAAUCGUAUUUGGUUAGAAAUUAGAAUUAUAGAGGCACUAAUUAUGUAAUAAUACACCAAUUCCUUUAUAACUUAUUCCAUAAGUAAUAUAUACUACAUUUAGUAGCGAGUUAUUAGGAUGCAAGUUAUUUAUGUACUUUUUUCGUUUGAGAAUAAGUUAUAUAUUUUUUUCUUUUUAUUCUAUCAAGAAGAUUUGAUUUUUUUCGUUCAAAAUUAUCCUUGUUUUAAUACAUGAAAUUUUACACCAUUAACUUAAAAGAGUCACUUCUUUUUCCCUUCAUUUUAUGAUAGGUAAGAUAGUAAAACACUUCUUAUUUUUAGGGGUGAGUAGUUUUUAUAAGCAACAUAUAAUAUGAGGAAAUCUAUGUUUUAUAUUAUACAACAUAUAAGGUGUCUUUAUAAAAUAAUACAUAAAUUUUAUCAUAAUUUAAUCCUACACUAUUACUAAUAUCGAUAUAACUUUAACCAGUGACCAAACUAUUCCUUACAAAUAAAAUAGAAAAAGAAGAAGUCAUUUCAAUCUUCUAUAUAUAAAAAUAAUUUUUUUAUUAUAUAUAGAAGUGAACGUUCUCUUAUGAAAAGGACAUAGAAUUAAAAAUAAAUUUUUAAAGGACCGGAGAACAAAAUCUUCCGUUUUCUUCGAUGUGCUGCUUAUCUGAGUAAACAAUUUGUACAUGUGAGACCAAUUAAGGUAAUACAAUAUUCUUUAUGACUAGUAAACAUACUAAUUAAUGUAUUCUAGAUUUCAUUAGUGAGGAGGACUAGAGAUUUAUUUCCUUGUGAUUUCCUAUUAAAAGGAGUAUAUUUUUCAAUCUUAAUUAUUCCAGGUGGUCAUAUUUGAUUUUGACCAAUAUAAUCGAAGCAUCGUUUUAUCCAUUUCAGCAGCAAUCCAUGUACAAAUUAAAAGUUGCGUUCAAUAUUCAAAUUGUUUUAUCCGCUUUAUUAUAUGCUUGUAUCCAUUUAUGUCUUUUACUGACAUUCUUCUUUCUCUUUUCCCAAUAAAAAUAAUGGAAUCAUUUACAGAUUCGUUUUCUUAUUUCUAUGCACGGGAGGGGGAAGACUGAAAGACAAAAAAGAAGAAGGUAUUUACAAAUUACACAUACUCAUAUUUAAUUUUCACUUAGCUGAAAAUGCAUAGAUGUCAAUUAAAAUAAUCAGACAUAAUAUAUUAAUGUGUCCUUUAACUUGACAUCAACUAAUAUUUAUGUUCCCUAAUUUUGAAUGUGCACAAGUAUGCACUUAAAUUUAUAUAAAAUUGAAUAAAUAGAUGCAUUCAUCCUACAUGAUAAUUUUGUCUACAUGACAUCUUACAUGUAUUAUGUCAUGUAACAUACGUGCAUCUAUUUGUUCAAUUUUAUACAAAUUUAAGUGUUAGGAUAUAUAGAUGUCAGCUGAAGUCAAGUUAAAAAAACUUAAAAUUUAUGUAUUAUGUCAAAUAAGUGUUGAAAACUUAAAAUGCAUAAGGUGUGUGUUAUUAUUAUGUUUGGUAUAAAUAUACUUAGUGUGAAGAAUAAGCAGAUGCGGGACUGUAGUAUUAGGCUAAAUUUGACGUUUGAAAUAAAAGAAUGUUUGGACAGUUUCAACCAUGAUAUAUUUUCAACAGCACCAAACUUUGUCCUACGACUUUUAAUACUUUGAAAUUAGAUCCAGUAGGUCUAAGUUCAACAAAAAAUAGUCUACUUGAAAAUUCGUCUACAUAAUAAAGAGUUUUCACGUUAUGUGAACUUUUUAUCUGGAAAUUAACGUGGAUGAGUAGUGUAUUCUUUUUGUUCUGUUUUUGGCCAAAUUAGGCGUCUUAAUGUUAAGACUGAAAGUCCUCCUCUCUUUUUUUUUUUCUUUUUUUUUUCAAUUUGGCCAUUUUGUAUUUGAAAUUAUUAAUUCGACUAAUUUAAUUUAGUGCCUUUACAUAUAAAAAUUUACUAAAUUCUAUACUAUAAAAUAAUGGCUAGAGCCUAGAAGCACACAGGUCUUUCUAGCCAUUAAAAUUCUAUUAAAGGGUAAUUUGAUCAUUUUGGUAUUAAAUUAUUAAAAAGGAAUUCUUAAUAAUUCAUAUAUUUAGAAAUUACGUAAAAUUAUAAAUCAUAAUAAUUAUAAUUAACAAGUUAAAAAGAUAUCUAAAAAAUAGUAAAACAUUUGAUUGACUUUCGAAAUUUCAUCACCACCACAUAAAUUGGAAUAAAGGGAGUAACAUAUAUUAUGUGAAAUUAACUUUAGAACUAUUAUAAAUUGAAAUAAUUAACAACUUAAAUAUCUAAAAACUCUAUAAAAGGUUUUUGAUUACUUUCGAAACUCCACUUAUACCACAUAAAUUGGUACAAAAAGAGUACCAUAUAUCACGUAAAAAUUACUAUAAAUCACAACUUAAAAUAUUUGGUUGACUCUCGAAAUUUCAUAUGUAUAUAGAACAGAUGGAUGGAGUAACAUAUAUUAUGUGAAAAUUGGAUAAAUUAUACUAUAAAAUCAUAAUAACCGACAACUUUAAACAUAUAAAAAUUUAAUCAACUUCACAUUUCAUUCGUGUCACAUACAUUUAACACAGAAUGAGUAAUUAUGAUCGCAGGCUCUGUAUCUAAUAGUUCUCCUAAAACAUGUUUAAAAGUAGUCCAUGUUCAGAACCUACUUGUCCAACCAUACUCAAGGUGAUAAGAUUCAAAUCAACUGACAUCUUUUUUACCCAAUAGCGAAGUCAGAGAUUUUGUUAAGAAUAUCCAAAUCUAAUAUAUAUGUAUGAAAAAUAAUUUUUGAUUAUAUUUCAUACAAAUUUUUAUAUAUAAUUUUAAUUUUUUCGAUUUGACCACCUUGAGUUUUAUGUGGCUAUGCUACUGUUUUUACCAUAAAGUAUUUUCCUGGUAAAGCAAGAAAACGAAAAUUGUUUAGUUGAUAUUUGCAUACAUCAUUGCAAGUACUAAAUAAGAUUCGGAUCAAUUGGUUUGGUGUGUCGUAGUAUUAAAGCUUUUUGUCCAGAGUCUUAUAACUGUUGCUUUGCAUUUGUACAUGAACACAGCAAUGAGUGCCACAGACUCACAGGGCCCAAGUAAUCCCAAAAGGCCAAAACUUAAAGAGGCAAAAGGACAUGACAAAGCAGAAGCAAGUUCAUUCUUCCCAUGCUGACAUUUCUUUUUGACAUUUUGAAUCAAACAUUGAUUAGCACUACAAAAAAUACCAACUAAUUUCAGGGGGGCGUUUGAUGGUGGAGAUGGGGGAUACAAUGGGUGGAGGUGAAGAUGAGGUGCCUUAGAGGAUGGGGAAGACACAAUCAAUGUAAACAUGUUUUUCCUACUUCAAAUAAGGGAGUCAUUUUCCUAAUUGUUAAGCAACUUCUUUUUUUUCCUGAAAAUUCUUUUUCUCCAUACCGAACACACCAUAAAAGAACAUGUAGACUCGAAUGAAG
RNAcentral lists this long non-coding RNA (4341 nucleotides) under Solanum tuberosum (potato). Its description in RNAcentral is "long non-coding RNA (STUB_LNC003956)". Lineage: Eukaryota; Viridiplantae; Streptophyta; Magnoliopsida; Solanales; Solanaceae. The record is from RNAcentral.